ACCUUCCUUCUCACUCGCGCCCUAAAUCCUCUCCACCCGAUUCUUCCCCCAACCCGACGCCUCUUCCCCUUCCUCUCGGUGCCGUCCACCUAUUCCUCUUCCUCUUCCCCGAGCCUGAUCAUCUUCCUCUCCUUCCCUCCCACGCGAACAAAGCCUCGGCAAAGGGGAAACCGAGCGCUCUCCCUUCUUCCCUCUGUGUUGCUGCCGACCACCACAGCCGACGCCGACGCCGACCCCCAAUCUGGCCGUUGCCCCUCUCUUCCCGCGUUGCCACCUGAUCGUCGUCGCUAGCCGACGCCACCGGACGUCAGAGCCCUCCUCCUCCUUUGGAGGUCAGUGACGUAACCGAGCACCCGCGUUUGUUGGGUCGUGCCCUAGACUGGGUCCACGGUCGCCGGCGCCCCUUUCCGACGUCGAGGGAGUUGUCCACAGCCACGGACGCCAUCGUCACUAGGGUUGAGCCGCUGGAUUUCCAUCGGCCUUGAGGCAGCAUCUCCUUCUCUCAGGCUCUAGCAGUGUUGUUCUGAACACCAACCCCUGUUUCCCCCCUGCCGGACUAGGCACCAUAGCAGCCACCACCAGACCUUCCUCUUCUCGAUUCUUCACUGUCAUCUCCUCACUGUGCCUCAUCCGUGCGCUGUUCAGAUUCAAGGAGCUAGGUUGGCAGAGACACCAUCUUCAACAGAAGCUUGCAGAUCAGGAUUUAGGGGUUUUUGGAAUUCGCUGUGGCAAUCUUGCUUCGGCUGAGAACAUUAAGAGAAGAGGGAGGUGUCCAGCAAGAGCUGUGGUUUUUCCUGGUAUGUCCAGCAGCUCACCUUGUUUCCAGCAACAAACACGCUCUUUGACUGUGGAUCAACAGGGGCUGUGAAGUGAGGACUUUGAUACGAGACGAGCAUCUCGACGUCGAAUUUGGAUCGGAUUGGAUCUUUCUAUUGGAGGCAGGAUUAUGAUACUCUUCGGUCUUAUAACCUUGCUUUCCUUAUAUCAAGAUCCGGGUUGAGGCUGUUCAGGAGGUUCCAGUUGCUAGUCCCCCCACCACUUCGCGUUGUGACGAGUUUGCACAUUUUGGUUUUUGUUAUUGUCUAUAUUAUUUAGACUUGUAUCUUUUGGCACUUGGAUCUUGUAUGAUCUCUUAUUAUCGAUGAGUUUUCGUUUGGAUGUAUGCUAGUAAUUUGUGUUUUAUGGGUGUA
Long non-coding RNA from Zingiber officinale, 1190 nucleotides. RefSeq lists it as uncharacterized. The record is from RefSeq and is a predicted model, not a curated record. The transcript has 6 exons. Lineage: Eukaryota; Viridiplantae; Streptophyta; Magnoliopsida; Zingiberales; Zingiberaceae.